UACCCAUGAUGUGGACACUUCAAGAGUAGCCCAUUGAAUCGCUCCUAUGUUUCACAAAACUGGUCGUCUUCUUUCUGGGUAAAACUCUGAAAUUUUCCUGCGAGU
Molecule: small nucleolar RNA, 105 nt
Filed under: Citrus sinensis (sweet orange)
Lineage: Eukaryota; Viridiplantae; Streptophyta; Magnoliopsida; Sapindales; Rutaceae
Also listed under: 1 other name
Description: Plant small nucleolar RNA R71
Rfam family: Plant small nucleolar RNA R71
About the family: R71 is a member of the C/D box family of snoRNAs containing the C (UGAUGA) and D (CUGA) box motifs.
Source: Rfam by way of RNAcentral